GAUCCUGGCUCAGGAUUAACGCUGGCGGCGUGCCUAAUACAUGCAAGUCGAAUGGUAGCAAUACCAUGGCGAACGGGUGAGUAACACGUAGGUAACCUGUCUUUAAGCCGAGGAUAACCAUUGGAAACGAUGGAUAAUACUGGAUAGGACAUUUGAAGGCAUCUUUAGAUGUUUAAAGAUUUAUCACUUAGAGAGGGGCCUGCGGCGCAUUAGCUAGUUGGUGAGGUGAAGGCUUACCAAGGCGAUGAUGCGUAGCCGGACUGAGAGGUUGAACGGCCACAAUGGAACUGAGAACGGUCCAUACUCCUACGGGAGGCAGCAGUAGGGAAUUUUCGGCAAUGGGCGGAAGCCUGACCGAAGCAACGCCGCGUGAACGAAGAAGUAUUUCGGUAUGUAAAGUUCUUUUAUUAGGGACGAAAAGACAGAUUGACGGUACCUAAUGAAUAAGCUCCGGCUAACUACGUGCCAGCAGCUGC
Molecule: ribosomal RNA, 476 nt
Filed under: uncultured bacterium
Lineage: Bacteria
Description: bacterial SSU rRNA
Rfam family: Bacterial small subunit ribosomal RNA
Source: RNAcentral